CAAGCAAUCUUCCUGCCUCAGCUUCCUAAGCAGCUGGGACUACAAGUACACGUCACCACUCCUGGCUCAGACAUUUUCUUUUGACUAUCUUCAAGUCACCCCAUCUCUUUGAAGAGUACUUUUUGAAAAUUUCGUACUUUGUUUUUUUAGAGUGACAGUCUUUUUAUUAUGUGGAGAGAAUUGCUUUGCAAAGGAGUCCAGGUCCCACCGGAAGGACCCCCUUCCAUACACCGUAGCAAUUCCGUAGCAGCCUCGACUCUCCCCUCGACGGACAGCAGAUGGCGCUGCGCUUCCCAUUUUGCCGCCUCGGUGGCGGGACAGGAAUCCAACUUUGGCAGAGCUGAGUUGAAGAUUGCAAGCGACCUAUUCCGAGCUGGAAUGCAGUGAAGGUGACCUUCUGGAUUUCUGAGCCUGGGCCUGGCAACUUCUGCUUCACUUCUUGGGAGCCAGCUGCUAUGUAAAGAAGACUGAGCAAGACAGCUGAAAGAUAUGUAGAGAGAGAAGCCAAGACAGUGCCCAGCUAUCCCAGUCACACCCACAGACUCACCACAUGUAUGAGUGAAGCCAUCUUGGACUUUCCAGCUGAGCUCCCAGCUAAAGGCAGCUGCAAGGGUGAUCCCAGCUGAUGCCAUGUGAAACAGAAGAACCAUCCACCUGAGCCCAGCCAAGUAUCUGAAGCUACAUAUGCCAGAGUCCCCCUGCUUGGGAUGGAGGAGAGCUGUUUUACUCCCAACACAGUCCAGACAAGGCUAACCAUAUGAUGCUGAUGCUGCUGGUGUAUGGAUCUUGGAUGAGGCUGCAUCUCCUGGGUGGAGGUGCUGCAGCCCAGUGAGCAUCAGGGAAGACUGGAGCACUGAUUCUCUGACUUCCUGUUGAACCACUGAUAGGAUCAAGCGGACUUGUUGGCUUAUUGGUGCUCAGAGAUAUUGAGGAUCCCCAGUAGAUCCUUUUCACAGAAUUGUGUAAAACUUCAGAACAUGGGGGGAGGGCAGCCAAGAUGGCCAAAUAGGAAUAGCUCCGGUCUACAGCUCCCAGCGUGAGCGACGCAGAAGAUGGGUGAUUUCUGCAUUUCCAUCUGAGGUACAAGGUUCAUCUCACUAGGGAGUGCCAGACAGUGGGCACAGGACAGUGGGUGCAGCGCACCGUGUGCGAGCCGAAGCAGGGUGAGGCAUUGCCUCACUCGGGAAGUGCAAGGGGUCAGGGAGUUCCCUUUCCUAGUCAAAGAAAGGGGUGACAGACAGCACCUGGAAAAUCGGGUCACUCCC
Molecule: long non-coding RNA, 1265 nt
Filed under: Homo sapiens (human)
Lineage: Eukaryota; Metazoa; Chordata; Mammalia; Primates; Hominidae
Description: HSALNT0367742
Source: RNAcentral